Long non-coding RNA from Gasterosteus aculeatus aculeatus (three-spined stickleback), 13559 nucleotides. Lineage: Eukaryota; Metazoa; Chordata; Actinopteri; Perciformes; Gasterosteidae. The record is from Ensembl.
AUGGAAUUUGAUAAAAAACAUUAUUUGUGCAAUCAAAAAUCAGCUCGCUUAAAGUAAAAGCGCAUUUACACACUGCAUACUUUUCUAAGUUGGACAUUUUGCUCUCUGAUCUUGUGAAGUCUUGAGUGUGACACUGAUGACCAGGCUGCUAUUUGUACGUCUCUGAAGCGUCUUGAGGAUCUCUCUGUACUAGAUGUUGGCAUCCGUUUCUCCGGCUUCAGGUUUCAGGCGCUGGAAUAUGUUUUACAUUCCUUUCAAAUCAUUAAAGCAUACUCCGAAGUCCACGUGAACUCAAAAAUAAAUACCUCACCCUCCUGCCCACACACAUGUAGGUCAGCGGCCUCAUUAACACAACAGCCCGGUAUACAUAGAAGUUGUGUCCAUAUCGGAUGUUUCUGCACAACACAACUUAUUUUCGUCCACGUUACAGUAAGUACCAAUGCAGUGGAAGUGAUCGGUGCUUUAUGGGUCAGAAGCACGUCUGACUUUUGCUGAGGAGAGUUUGCGUGUCUUGAAAUACUAAUUACAUCACAUUACAUUACAUGUAAUUUAGCUGAGGCGUUUGUCCAAAGCGACUUACAAUAAGUGCAUUCAACCAUAGGGUACAAACUCAGAAGAACAAGAAACAAGAAAGUGCAUUUUCCUUAAAUAAGCCAAUUUACAAUUUGCUAUAGAUGAGUGGCGCUAUAAGUACAAUUUAUGUGCUACAAUUUGUUAGUCUUUUAGUCGAGCUAGAGUCUGAAGAGGUGUGUCUUUAGUUUGCGGCGGAAGAUGUGAAGGCUCUCUGCGGUCCUGGUGUCUUCAGAGAGCUCGUUCCACCAUUUCGGAGCAAGGGCAGCAAAGAGUCGAGACCUAGUCGAGUGUUUUGCCCUCAGUGAGGGAGGGACGAGCAGUUAUACAGAUGCAGAGCGGAGAGUGCGGGUCGGGAUGUCGGGUUUGACCAUGUCCUGGAUGUAAGCUGGACCCGAUCCAUUCACAGCAUGGUACGUGAGCACCAAUGUUUUGAACUGGAUGUGGGAAGCCCCUGGUAGCCAGUGAAGAGAGCGGAGGAGUGGAGUAGUGUGGGAGAAUUUCAGAAGGUUAAAGACCAGUCGAGCUGCUGCAUUCUGGAUGAGCUGCAAAGGUCAAAUGGCGAUGGCAGGGAGACCUGCAGGAGGGAGUUGCAGUAGUCCAGGCGUGAGAUGAGAAGAGCCUGAAUCAGUACCUGAGCAGCCUUCUAAGAAGAGGACGUAUUGUUGUAGAGCGUGUAUCUACAGCAUCGUGUUGUCGCAGUAAUGUUGGGUGUCAGGGAGAGUUGACUGUCGAGUGUGACGCCAAGGUUCCUAGCAGUUAAAGUGCCAAAGUUGACCGUCAGGUCCUGGGUCGGAGAGUCUUUUCCCGGAAAGAGAAGUAGUUCAGUCUUGUCGGGGUUGAUUUUCAGAUGGUGGGCGGACAUCCACUGAGAGAUGUCAGUCAGACAGCCAGAGAUCCGCGCCGCCACCUGGGUGUCCGAGGGAGGGAAGGAGAGAAUUAGUUGGGUGUCAUCGGCAUAGCUGUGGUAGGAGAAGCCAUGCGAGCGAAUGACAGCACCGAGAGAGUUGGUGUAGAGCGAGAAGAGAAGGGAACCCAGGACGGAACCCUGAGGAACUCCAGAAGUAAGAAGACAAGGUUCCGACACAGACCCGAGGUAGGACGAGAGAAGGGAGAGAGCAGAGCCUGAGACACCAAGUUUCUGAAGGGAGGAAAUAAGGAUCUGGUGGUUGACUGUGUCAAAUGCAGCAGAGAGGUCCAGAAGGAUGAGGACAGAGGAGAGAGAGGCGGCUCUAGCAGUGUGGAGUUGCUCUGAGACAGCAAGGAGAGCAGUCUCUGUGGAAUGGCCUGCCUUGAAGCCUGACUGGUGGGGGUCAAGGAGGUUGUUACGACUAAUGAUGUCUUCUGUUUGUCCGUCCAGAGAGAUCCCUGUCAAUGGAUUUCCAAAUUUCAGCAUUUGGGACAAAAUGUAUUGUCAGUAUUGUGGGUAAAAUAUUAUCAAAAGUUAGUAUGAAACUUACAAAGUUAGUGCAAAUGUUUCUCUUACUGUCUGUUAUUAUUCAGAGUUGUCCAAACUCAAUCAGCAAAGCCUCAUAUUAGUUUCAGAUGAACUGUUUUAUAGAUGUUUACAAGGAUACCGUGGAUUUUAUCCCACAUAACUUCCAUUAUGCACAUUAAGAAAUGAGAUCUUAAAGACCAAAUGAAGCAGAAUUUAUGUCAGUUUGGCUGUUUUUGGAGGAGCUUUGGCACAGGGUGAAACAAAAAAUAAAUCCUCCCCCACAGUAGAAUUUACCAUAGUUGUAAAUUAUACCCGGCUCAAUGGAACAGGGGACAGUUAAUACACCGUCGGUUACAGUGCGUCACAUUACCAACUGUUUCUAAUCAAAGUGCACAAAAGCGUCUUUUUAAAUUCUGUGCUCAUUCCAGAUGAAAUUUCUUCACCGUAUUUGCCUGCACUCCGUAACUCAUUUGCUUGGGGCUUCUGCUUGUAGCUGAGCUGCUGAGUGGUAGCUGCUCCUGUCUGGAUUUCAGCACCGUCACCGAAGCGUUUCUGAAAGCUCUGCCUGAACCUCCGAGUCUCUCUCUCUCUCUCUCUCUCUCUCUCUCGCUGGAGGAGACGCCAUGGGAAACCGACUUCUCCAACAUGGCGGCUCCCUCCCCUCUCUGAUCGCCACUGUGGCUGGUUCCAAUGCGAGCGGGCAGCCGAAUGGUUUCGCCCCGCUGGUCCCAAAGUGUUUGCGAUCCAAUGAGUGGUCGGGCCCCUCGGUGCUCGCUCAUUAUCUGGACGGGGAGCCCGAUCCUGCUCCGCAGGGAGCCGCUUCAGCUCAGAUAAGACUGGCAUGCCUUGCGUUUGGUGUCGCUCUAAAGAAUACAGGACGCAGUAAUGGGCGCUGCUGUUGUUCGAAAACUGUUGUUACACCCACUAUUUUGGUGACAUUUGUGCAAGUGUGCAUGAUUAUCCGACAUUUUGGGGAUACAUGGUUUUCCCCUCAUGGCAAGUUUUAAGUUUCAGUUGAGACUAAUAUUAGAGAGAAAAAGCUUUGUCCCUGUUUGGGCCUUUAAGCCUCAUGCGAAAUGAGUGUUUUGUGGUGCAUUUUCAAACCAUGUAAAGUCAUUUUCACACUGCGUCUCCCCUGGCAGCAGUUGCAGUGUGCCGCUGUGGGUUGCUGGAAUGGUUUUCUUUGUUGCACAUGAAAGAAAUCGGUCUGAGCAGUUUUUCUGCAGCUGUUUAUUCGCUGUCUCAGGAAAAGUCCAUGAGAGACCACUCUCUCUGUGGUUGUGGCAGCUUGUAAAUUAAUGGAUUUAUUUGGCUGGGGAAGAUUGCACACAUUACAUAUUUGGAGCAAUCAAAUCAGCAAUUACGUGGUUUCGAAUUUCAUGUUUGCGCCCAGCUGUGACAAGCUCGACUGUCCUCUGAGAAGUCUGGCUGGAUUUAAUGUCUGUUCAAAAAGGCUGAUUGCCUGGCAGCACGACUGAAGGUAAUGCAAAGCAAUCAUUCGUCACAGAAACACACGCUGUUGCUGUAAGAAUUUAUUCUAAUGAUUCAGUUAAUUCAUGACCGAGUCAGUAAAGGUGCAACGGAUCAUAAAACCACAACCACCAUAGAAGCACAGAUCGCAACGGAACAUCUUACAUUUAAACUUGGAAUCGCGCACUGUCACCUGCCAUGCCUCCACUUUGAAUUGCUCUGUACUGCCUCAAAUCGAUAUAUGACAUGAACUCAGCCUCAAGGUUUUGCAUUAACGUGUAGGAAAACCAACAAAAGGAAUAAAAACCAUAUACAUACUGUAUGGAAAUUACUUUCUUUACAAGAAAAAACAGUCUAACUACUUAUUUCAAGGUUUAAUUUAACCUGUUACCUGUAAAAUGUGCAACUUAACGGUAGCUGUGGAGCAUUGUUAACUAGUAGAAGGCCCACUGUGGAACACAAGCAUGACUCACACACUAACUCACUGACGCAUGACACACUUUCCUGAACAUUUAUUUAUCUAUUCUACUGACUGACAGCUGCCAAGAAAAGUAAAAACGCUUCAGGAAAGGCAGGGGGGAGAAACAAUAUUAACAUUACAAAAUAACCUUUUUGCUAAAGGGAGUAAGCUCUCAUCUCUUCAUGUGGUCCAACACAAAUUCACCUCCUGCUUUAAUGCUCAAGCAGGUAUCACAUGCAACGAGGGCAAUCAAAGACGGGGGGGUGGGUGGACAAAACUUUGGUGAGGGCCAUCUGUCUGCUAUUUAGUCCAGUCCCAGAAGUCAUGCCUGCUUAAUUCCAAAACUGUCACGGUGUGUCAUUAGGUGCAGCCAUUUUAAAGCUUCAGAUUUCAUUAGCCACAGGAAGGGCCACAUUACCCCCAGGAUUAAUGUCAGGUUUUUGCGGCUCAGUGCUGCAACGGUGGACUGCAUUAAUGUGAUUGGGUUGACCCUCUUGUUUAAAUACACCUCAACUCAUUAAGCAUUAUAGACCCAGAGCAACCCCAUUAAAUCAUGAAUUGUGGACAUUUUGUACGAGCAGCAUUUACUUUACACCUCAGAAAUCUCAAAAAUCGACCACGGCUUCCUGCCAAGGUUAAGAUUCAAAGAAUCUUCAGCUGCCACUUCACAGCCAAACGUUUUGUUUAUACCCUUUAAAGCCUCCUCAUUUCUCCCAGUGUUGCAUCGCCACUGCCGUUUCCUAAGUUGUGCGUCUCUGCGUCGGGGUGAUGCAGAGGUGACGCCACGCUGAACAGGAAACCUGAUCGCACUAUCUGGAGGAUGACACAGAGGAGCUGAGUCACGCCUAGUGCCGGCGCCCACAAAACGAUGACUCAGUGAGGACGAGCCCAGUCAUCGCUCUUCCCUUUUUAAUUAGGCAGUACGGGGCCCCUCAGCAGCCAAUCGACUGCCUCCUCUCAUCCGAUGGCUGCAGACGCUAGGAUUGUGUUCGCUCACUUCUUUCUUUAGUGCGGGUUUUAAAACCAUCCUCAACUUUUUUUCUGCCUUAAUAACGAGCAUGAAACUGUCAGCACUGGUGAGGAGAACAAGAGCUCACGGAGCACAUGCGGCGCUCUCUGCAGUUCUGCUACAUCAUGUUGACAUCUACCAGAAGCUGCGAACGCAAUGCGCUCGGCCCACCUGAGGGGCGGCGGCACGCGGCCCCUGUGUUCCGUCACUUAGACAUUCAUCACCAUGUCGCCCAAGCGCCUGCGUGCGAGGACUCUCAGCGCACCUCGCCAGGUGUGAGAGUAGUCUGAAUUUUUUGGGCCUCUUAUUAAUCAGGGAAAUGAUCGCAACCAGCCGUUGUCCGCGGUGUGGUCGGGGUUGUCACGCCGCAGACGUUGUUGAGUUCCAGAAGCAGCAUCUUGAAGUUGAAAUGAUACCUGCACCGAUGGGAUUUGUUUCCUCCGCAGUGUUGAGGCCUGAGUUCACCUUUCAGAGUUUUGACAGACCUCAAGAGGCAGAAGAAUAUAAAUGUUUGAAAGGCGGUUUGGACUCAAUUCCCUUUCAUCUUUUUUUCCAUCACGAAAAAACCUGCAGACUGUUUCCCCCGCGUCAGCCGGAGGGGGUUAGACCUUUGUGGAGUAGAAGCAGUUCAGCCAUACCGCUGACUUGGCUGUGAAUUACAUUUUUUGCAAUUGACGCUUUGUUUGUGCGCUCGCCUUGGUGCACAGUGGACUCUGGAGUAAGCACAUAAUCUUUAAAGUGGGUCGGGGCAUCACUGUUUAAUGCCUUUUGUUACUCAAGUGCUGCUCAGUCAACAUCUCUGUCGCAGCAGAGAAUGUCAGACAAAUAUGCAGUCAAUGUGUAAAGCCAUUAAUUCCUUCCGGAAUUAAUACCAACCAAAGAGUGUUACAACUGACAGUGUCACGGUUUGGGUUCACGUAUUGUUUUAUUUUGUAGUUUCAUGCCUCUGGUGCUCCUGGGUUUACUUCACUUCCUGCCUGGUCCUGUCAUCAUCUGCCGUGUCCAUGAUUGUUUCCACCUGUGUCCAAUCACCUGCACCGUCCCAGUGUAUUUAAGCCCUGUGUGUCUCCUUGUCGCGUCAUUGAUUGUUCAACCCAAAUGUUGCAUGUCAUCCCCUCAGUGUCUUGGCUGUGCCUGCGUCCUGUCUGCGUUUUGCCUUUUUUAAAGAUUUUGACUAUUAAAGUCCUUUUCUGUUUUGAACUCUGCGUUUGAGUCCUGCCUUCACCUACCCGUUCCCGACAGACAGGAUAGUUUAUUUAUUUGGUUGUAUUUGAUGUAGGUUUGGUUAAAAAGAUGGGGUUUGCUCUCAGCAAUACCAUCAAAUGAAACCAAAGAUGUUGAACCUCGUUUUGUUUUUUAAAUAACUUAAGUGCGGUUAUUUGGCUGAUUGUUUUUCGGGCGUGUUUCUUUUGGUUUGCCCCUCCUCUUUAGUUGAGUGCCUUUACUCGAGAUCUGACCAGCCACCCACAACAGUUUAGCAAAUCUGGAGCACGUCUGACUGGAUUCGUCAUUAAUUGUGCACAAACAUUGAUGCCACGCCGUCACAGUCUUCACAGUUCACCUUUUUCGUUGUUAAGUAAUUACAGAGGCAUUGUGGUUAAGACCCCUUGCUUACGGAAAUCGGAAACUAACAGAAAGGUUCCAGACUAAUCCUCGUCUGUGACUUGGUCUGGUGAUUAGUGCAUGUCCUUGUACGUGACACAGCACAUGGCUUCAGUAGCUGGGAGCCCCAGAUAGAGGAAGGUUUAGCUACUAUCUUAACUUGCCCUGUGUAGAAUAAUAACUGGCUUAUUUAGUGACGUGCCAGUAAAUUACGUACAGAUACAUACGUGCUGUUAAAUUACUUUCUAUGGCUUUGUUCCUCAGUAUCUCAUAUUAUUAUUACAUUAUUAUUAUCUUAUUAUUACAGAAUAGCGCCGAUAUUUUACAUUGUUACCUGCUUAUUCCCUUUAGCCUAUUUCCUUGCACCUACACGGAUGUGUCGGCACACACUGUACUGGUAAAUCAGUACAAUAAAUUACACAAAUUACUGGGAAUGUCUGAAACGGCUGAGAACUGACUGAGAAAAGACAAUGUUGUGAAGGAAAGGACCUUGGCCCAGUUUAAACAACAAAGCUGCACCCUGGGAAAUGAAUGAAGGAUCAUUUAAAAUAGAGGUGAGAUGAAAGAAAUACAUCCAAAAGCAAACAAUGGUUGUAUUUUCUUGAAGCUACCUGUUAUUCAAAAGCGUUGGCGACAAGUACUGGUCUGUUCACUGCAGUGGAAAAACCCCUAAUGAUGACUACACUUAAGUGUGAAGAGCUUAUUGAGUUUUCGACAGGAAGCCUCCCCCGGUGCAUGGUUUGGAGCUGUGCUGUAGGCAGUCACUGCAGAGACUCCAAUUACUGACCAAGUCCCACUUGGCUGGCUUCUAACUGUGACCAGCAAAUUAGAAAGCUGGCAAGGGAGAGAAAGGGGCCAGGGAAAAAAAAAACAGAGAAAAGUUUUUGGUUGCGCAGCGAUGUUGGCCUACCGGAAGCCCAGAAAAACGUCGAGUAGAUUGCAACACGUGCAGAAGGAAAAAUAUGCACCGCUUUGUUCAUGAGUUGGACACUUUCCAAACGCCUGUUCAUCGAUAAUCCAGCAACGAACUGUGGAUUUAUGGCCAGCAUUAGUGUUACUGAACCUCCUGAACUAAACAUUUUACCAUAACCAGUACACAGGGGGUGGAUAUCUGACAAAAACAAAACAGGCUUUUUUUGCAGUUAACCCUCUGCUAUGAUGAUGCCAAUAAUGGUAACGGUUAGAUUGUUGCAUUAUCUGUGUGGGCAAGCAACCUUUUAUCAGGAAAUGUCAGAAGGUAGUCCACAUUGUUUGUGAGUUGUCUUAUCUUUAUGUCUUUAUCCCACUAAAAUGCAUUUAGUUGAAAUUUUCGUUCUAAAUAUCACAAUUUAUUCAUUUGUAGUAUAAAUUGAAUAAGGUUUAUCUUGUCUUGUAUGUUUGUGUAUGUGCACAGUUGCUGCAGGUUUGUUAUGUAUCAUAAGUUCUUACACAAACAUUGGGGAGAAUUCACAUUCGCUGUCUGCAGUAGUAACAGCAGCAGCAGCAGGAGGUCAGUUUAAGAUUCCUCCCACGUGCUACCUGCAGAUAAGUGCACGGUGCAGUGCUGAGCCUAUAGUGAGGGUUGGUUAGGCAAUAGUUCCUCUCUUUAAAACUUUAUAUGUUUACAACUGUAGGAGUCACAGUGGCAUCAAGCCACCGUUGGGAUGAAAAAUUGGAUAGGAUUCACAGGCCAGAAGCAGCUGCCUGUUGUAAAACAAUGCAGAAGAGUGUCGUCUUUUGUGUGUGUCACUGAACUCUUUCAAGGGUUCCCAGCCACAACUGGUCGAUAACUUAUUUCUGUUCUUCUACUAUUUUGACGUGAUAUCGUGUUUCCCCAAGACAGGAGCUUGUACACUCGGGAGGGGAGAUGGAUAAGAAUGGAUCCGCCGCGUUUGACAUUGGAGUAAGAUUACUCUGUUCCCCCCGAGCAGAGACACAUUAAACAAGUAGGAGAUCAGAGGAGCAGAAAGGCAGAUGAGAGCCGUGCGUCUGUGCACCUCCACAUGGGGCUUAAGGAGCACAGAGGACAGCUGGUUCACUCAUCACUUUUUUGCCUUGUCUUGGGCUUUCAAACCCCCCGGGGACACGCAGUUUCUGCCGGUGAGCUGUUCAGGAACUGGUUACAAAACAGGAUUUUCUUGUGAAGCUGAAUGUGUUCUAUUUUUGUACCAUAAUGGUGUAAUAAAAACCAAGGUUUUAACCUGAAAAACAAAAUGUUUAUAGUCACUUUGUGGAGCUAAGCUCCGGAUGGUCAUUUUAUUUGUGGUAGGUGGGUUAUUUUCUUUCGAUGGCAAAUCUGGUGAAGCACCCAAAAUAUCAUUCUGUUUCCAUUGUUCAGUGGUUGACCUUCUGCUGACCCCUGCCAGGGUCAAACUCCCUAUAACAUUGAUGACGCUGUCAAAUUUAACGUUGAAAAUUGUUCUUAGUGCAUGAGUUCAUAUAAGUAUAGAUGCUAGAUUACAAAUGUUGAUUUUACCAAAUAUGAUUGCAACUGUUAAUGAUGUCGCUAAUUAAUUGUUAAGUAAUUGUUGUAACUAUUUAAUUUGUCAUUUAAGCUACAGUAAGCCCUAUGAGUUGUUUUAAAAUACCCUUUUCCGUUUUUACAAAUAGGAGAAUCUUGUAAAAGGGUCUUAAUGCAAAUACCAAACUUGCUUUGCUUCAGGAUCCGCAUCAGUUGAUAAUCUAUCCAGAAGAAAUGGAAAUACAAUGGGAAGAUAACAUAUUUUUUACGGCAAUUUUCUGUAAUUGAGCAGCACCUACAAGUAUAACAAGCAUAUAUAGACUCAGCAAUACUUCUUACUGUCAUUGGAAUUCAUGUUUAAUCAAUAAUCACCUAAUACUUAAUUUAAUGGUAUCAAAAAAAGGAGUCAAUGUAAGCUACUUUAGCUACUUGGGAAGGAUGACAUACUUUCCCCUGUUUGGACUAGUUCUGAAUCUUUGCUUGUUCCACAUCUGCACUUUGCUCAAUACCAGGGCUGUAUUUUUUCACUCCCACUGAUUUGGUGACAGUUUGAUGAAUCCUUUCUCUUCUGGUGGUAUAAGUUUCACUCUUCGUAAAAGGUUCAAACUGUUGUUUACCUUUUCUGUUGUAGAGAGGUCUACAAUUCCCUUUAUUUCCCAUGGGAAGGUCGGAAGAGCAUCUUGCUUUUAAGAGGAUAAAGGAGUAAAGUAGAUUGAGAUGUAACUUAGAAAUUGACUUCUUGCCACGUGAGAAAAUACACUGCAGACCUUAUGAAAAAAGAACCUUGAUGGUUUGCAACAUAUUUGAUGCCUGAUUUGAGGAGACACUGCAGCGAGAGCAGAUGGGUUUGACUGACCCGUUGAGGUUACCACUCUCUCUGUUGUCAGUGCACCUCUUCUGGUGAUGAAAACAUCCUAUUGGCUCCUCACGCAUGACCAACUCAGACCCAUCACAACAAAUCUGUCUCCCUGGGAUAGCCUGUCAUUGUGUGUGUUGGUAUAUAUAUAUAUAUAUAUAUAUAUAUAUAUAUAUAUGUGUGUGUGCGUGUGCGCGCGUGCAUAAGAGAGAUGGUGUUGCAGACAAGGAAGUGAUGGACUAGAAGUGACAUACGACCCCUGAAGCAGCCAAGGAUUAAUGGCCUGCGUAGGCGAGCUCCUCGAGAAGGAUGUGGCUGGGUAAUAAGGACCUCCACCAGCCACAGUGCAUACAUCCAUCUGCCCUUCUCGGAUAAUCGCCCUCCCGCAGCUGGAGCUUCCAGAUGUGGAGCCACCUGUGGAGAACGGGCCACUGAUUUCCUGCCACAUAUGCAGAGAAGAUUCCUUAAAAAACCCGCCUGACUCAAUACUCGCCUGAUGUUUUGUGUACAGGGAAACACAAUUUUUGAGUCAAGGGCACAUUUGGUGGUCUGAGCAGAGAUGGUUUUCAGGUGGCACGCCGUCACCGUGACAGGUAACACGGAAACUGGGGAGGCGAGAGGUAUGAGACACUGCAGGGACCCCAGUCAAGCUCCAAAGGAAUGAAUAUGAAACAUUGAAAAUGUCACUGGGGUAUUCUGACAUUUUGCACUUUGAGGGAGUCUGAAAAGGUUCAAACGGCAACUGAGAAGUGAAAGCGGCAGCUAUGGAUAUGAGUCACCUGCAGGAGAAAACAUGCUACACUCGUGUUAACCUCUUCUGGUUCAGAGGUGGUGAAACAGGCAUGGAAGCAUAUUUAAGCUGCUUUGUACAUUUUUCAAACUUUCAGUCGAGUCCCUUUAACUCGUUGGUUUUGACAGAUAAACACACGUUUUUACAACCGGGGUAUAAUGUGUGUAAUUGUUCUGUCAUCAUAUCAUAAUUACUAAGAUCUGGGACUGCAGCACAUUUUGCUUAAAACUGCAGAGGACGCUCCUGUUUCGACUUUGACCCCUUCAUUUGCCAUAGUUGUUACAGAUUAUUACCAACAUUUCAAGUGUGCUCACUUUCUAUUUUUCCUUCAAAUAAAGUAUUUCAGAUAGAAUAGGCUUUACAAAAUGAAUGAUCUUCUGUGUGUUUCUUGUGACAUUAUUGCGGUGAUGUUUCCAUGUUCCCAAAUUUCAGGAAUUACUUAGAAACGAUGGCCAGAAUUAUUAAGUAUACAGUAAAACAAGUUGUGAUAAGCAAGGAUGGUCCAAAGAGUUGAGGUCUUCCCACCAGUAUCCAUGGCUUAAGACAACACGCGGUCACGCUCUUCUUCAGAAUAGGCUUUGCAUGUUGCCUCUGUGGCCUCAGACAGAAAUGAUGAGAUCAGAGCGCUGCGGUUGGACAUCAAGAGGGCCGGGAGGCGAAAACACCUGCUGUCAUCGUCUCCCACUCUGGAAACCAGCAUGAACACACAAGGUCAAAUGGCCGGGGCAGCACUUCAUGUUCCCCCCGAUCCAUUAGAUUUUUCGGAUGCUUCGCUUUUCACCAAGAUCAAAUCACUUCCUGCCAACCAGAUUAGGCGUGCUGGUGGGGGAGCGAGGAGAAGGCUGGCGGGAUGAUAUUAAAAAGAACCCAUGCUGCUGACUAGUCUUUGAACAGGAACAAGCUUCACUUUCAACGCUGUUUCCCGAAAAACAUUCUCUAAAGCAAAUCUGACAGAGAAAUUGUCCUUGUCCGUGUUGCUUCUCCUUCUCCUUUGAUUUGACUGCAGAUUGGACUGAGGUCGCUUUAAGACUCUGUGGACCUAAACUCAAUGUCAAAAGUUUUUAGCCGCACUGGAGAAAGCUGUUCUACUGUCUUGCAGCCAAUAAGUAGCAUAGCAGUCUUAAAGAAAGGCUUUACCUUUAUGAUAGUUUGUAACCAUUGCAUUUUUCAUAAAACGAGGAGCAAAUUCUUUAACCAUGUUUUGCAUUUGCACAAUUGGUCUUUAGCUGGUUUGCAUUGCUUAUGACUUGACAUAAUAACAUAAUAAACAUGAAAAGGUCAAAUAGGAUCAUCCAAACUAUUUGGUGUCUGUUAACACCACAUUGACAUACUUCUUACUACUUACUUCAUAAAGUGGAUAUGGGGACCAUGUUGAACAUUUCAGCGAACACGGAGGAACAUUAGCAUUGAUCUGUCCUUGGCCACCUGAUUGAUGUCCCGUAUUAACAAUACCUCAUAUGAAGCUGAAAUUGAAAUUAUGCUCAGUGGAGCUAAUAAAACAAGACACAAAAGUUAAUAUCAAAACAUUAAAAAAGAUGUUAAGAUGCUUCAUAGUUUUUACGCUCAGGUAAUAUCUUGUUUUAAGAACAUUAGGGAUUUCUUACAGUUUAUAAAAUAAUCACUUCAUCCAUUAUUAUUAUUUGAGAAAACCUUUGACUUAGUGUUAAACAAUGAUCAGCUGCUAAAAUUGUAAACCUGCGCACUUAAGUGCAGCCUCAUUAUCAAAUGUCAGCUUUCCUUUGAUUUAAGGAGGCUUAUGUCCCUUUUAAAUCAGUAUUGGAACACUUAUCUAAUGCCACCAUUUCCAGUUGGUCUUAAUCCCUCAAACAAUUAAUACCUCUUAACAAGUUAAUUGUCUAAUUGUUCAAAUCCAGACACCAUGUAAGGACUGCGUUUAACCUGGCCGGUCGUAUGCGCUAAACCCCUAAACCAACCUUCAGACCCGCCUCGGCCACUCAAACAUGCUCACGCCAACAGACCCGUCCUCAAAUGGAAGCGUGUGUUUGGCUAAUGAGGCAAAGCGGUCCGGUCCGUUUCCCUCACUUUGCACCUCCAAAUCCUCCGGUGUCUCUCCGAGGAUAAAAACAAACCCAGGGGAUUCUUAAGAGGCGUUGGAAACAGACAGAUAGCAAAGUGCGUGGCGGAGGCCCACGGCGUCGGUGUUCGGGGUGGGUGACGGUGUUAUUCACUGCCAUCUGUUCCCCCAGGCGGCGGUCCAGCAGCGCUCGGCCGCGAGGAGCAGGGAGCAGCCCACCCAGCCUCGCUGCUGGCACCGCCGCAGUUCAUCCACAACAUGGCCGUGUGUGUGUGUGCGGGGCCUCCCGGGCCCGUUUGUGCGGAGACGGUGUUGUAUAAAACUAAGCUCUCUUACGCUCGGACCGUUUGCGGCAAUCUGUCCUGCUCAAAGACUCUUGCACCGCAUUGCUGAGCUAUAAAGUUACAGAAAACGGAGAUUAUUGAAUUAGUGGGCGCACAACUGUUUGUUUUCACCCUGCAUUUGUGGCUCGAAGCCGUCGGCCCGUGUGAAUUUCCCACGAGAAGCCACUUCAGCUCCCUUUUCAGUGGACGAGCAGCUCGGCAAGCGGCGUCAGUGUUUGGUGACGCGGCAAAUGCCGUAAAACGGCAUAUCAUUUUCAGUUUGGGUAUGUUACCCAAACAACAAAGGAAUGUUAUGAGAGCAGUGGGGUCCCAUCGCUCAACCUAUUUAUGAGAAGAACUCACAAAGGCCCGAAUCACUCUUCCUCUCUGUCUCCGCUGUCACCCUCAGGAAAAGUGAGCAUGCCGUAAAUCACCUUGGCAGCUCUGUGUUUUGAAGCGGCAGACUGCCCGUAGCCACUGUCGUUUUAUGGGUUGUUAUUUCACUGCAUGUUGUAGGGAGACGUAAUCUCGCUUUAAAUGCUGGUGCGUUGGCUUGAAGUGUUCAA